This is a long non-coding RNA of Anolis carolinensis (green anole), 662 nucleotides long. RefSeq annotates it as tripartite motif-containing protein 26. The record is from RefSeq and is a predicted model, not a curated record. Lineage: Eukaryota; Metazoa; Chordata; Lepidosauria; Squamata; Anolidae. The transcript has 4 exons.
CCAGGAAGGCAGAGUAAGGGAAAGGUUCUUAAAAUCACAGGUAUCUUGAGGGCUCAUAUCCUGCAGGACCAGAGGCGGAGUCAGCAGGUGCUUUCCUGAAUUCUGAAUAAACAAAAGGAAGGUCAUCAACUCUGUCUUGUCUCUCUCCUGGAGAAGCAGCUACCACAGCCAUGGCCUCUGGAUAUUCUGUCAAGGAAAAGGAGCAAAUCUGCCAGAGACACCAGGAACCCCUGAAGCCCUACUCCAAGGACCACAAUGCAUCCAACUGUGCGGAGUGUGACUGGUUGAAGGAGCACGAAAACCACCAGGAUCAGAUUUGGAAGUUGCUGCAGACUCUGAAAAUGAAGAAAGGGAAAAUUCUGGCCUACAAAGUAGAUGCAGCAUGGGAAAGCCAAGAUUUGCUCGAGAGAACCCAAAGAGCGAAGGAGAAGACUGUGGCUGCAUUCAUGCACAUGCAUCAUUUUCUAGAGGAACAAGAGAGGCACCUGCUGACAAAAAUUGAGAAGGUACAGAAUGAGAUUUCUGCAAAAUGGGAGGAACAUCUGGCCAGACUCUCUGAAGAACUCUCCUCUCUCUCGAAACUCAUCCAAGAGAUGGAGGAGACGCAUCAUCAGCCAGCAAGUGAACUUCUCCAGGAUAUCAGGUGCUUCUUACAGGGGUAA